CUACGGGUCGCUCCAGUAGGGAAUAUUGGACAAUGGGCGAAAGCCUGAUCCAGCAACACCGCGUGCACGAUGACGGCCUUCGGGUUGUAAAGUGCUUUUAGAGGAGAUGAGAAAGGACAGUAUCCUCUGAAUAAGCCUCGGCGAACUACGUGCCAGCAGCCGCGGUAAAACGUAGGAGGCAAGCGUUAUCCGGAUUUAUUGGGCGUAAAGCGCGUGCAGGCGGUCUAGCAAGUUGGAUGUGAAAGCUCCCGGCUCAACUGGGAGAGGUCGUUCAAUACUGUUAGACUAGAGAAUAGGAGAGGGAGGUGGAAUUCCGGGUGUAGUGGUGAAAUGCGUAGAUAUCCGGAGGAACACCAGUGGCGAAAGCGGCCUCCUGGACUAUUUCUGACGCUAAGACGCGAAAGCUAGGGUAGCAAACGGGAUUAGAUGCCCCCGAGUC
Molecule: ribosomal RNA, 439 nt
Filed under: uncultured bacterium
Lineage: Bacteria
Description: partial 16S ribosomal RNA
Rfam family: Bacterial small subunit ribosomal RNA
Source: RNAcentral